GUGGACGCAUCACUGGUGUUCGGGUUGUCAUGCCAAUGGCACUGCCCGGUAGCUAAAUGCGGAAGAGAUAAGUGCUGAAAGCAUCUAAGCACGAAACUUGCCCCGAGAUGAGUUCUCCCUGAGACUUAAAGUCUCCUGAAGGAACGUUGAAGACGACGACGUUGAUAGGCCGGGUGUGUAAGCGCAGCGAUGCGUUGAGCUAACCGGUACUAAUGAACCGUGAGGCUUAACCUU
Molecule: ribosomal RNA, 234 nt
Filed under: Salmonella enterica subsp. enterica serovar Infantis
Lineage: Bacteria; Pseudomonadati; Pseudomonadota; Gammaproteobacteria; Enterobacterales; Enterobacteriaceae
Also listed under: 10 other names
Description: partial 23S ribosomal RNA
Rfam family: Bacterial large subunit ribosomal RNA
Source: RNAcentral